Mycena olivaceomarginata is the source of this 97-nucleotide non-coding RNA. The record is from the annotation of a GenBank genome assembly. Lineage: Eukaryota; Fungi; Basidiomycota; Agaricomycetes; Agaricales; Mycenaceae.
GGCUCAGUAGCGGAGGGUCCGUAUCUGCUUCAUAUGCAUGUUUCAGCUUCCUCUUGUGAUUAUGCAGACACUGCCUGUUCAACUCAGGCCUGAGCCA